GAUGAACGCUGGCGGCGUGCCUAAUACAUGCAAGUCGAGCGAACGGACGAGAAGCUUGCUUCUCUGAUGUUAGCGGCGGACGGGUGAGUAACACGUGGAUAACCUACCUAUAAGACUGGGAUAACUUCGGGAAACCGGAGCUAAUACCGGAUAAUAUUUUGAACCGCAUGGUUCAAAAGUGAAAGACGGUCUUGCUGUCACUUAUAGAUGGAUCCGCGCUGCAUUAGCUAGUUGGUAAGGUAACGGCUUACCAAGGCAACGAUGCAUAGCCGACCUGAGAGGGUGAUCGGCCACACUGGAACUGAGACACGGUCCAGACUCCUACGGGAGGCAGCAGUAGGGAAUCUUCCGCAAUGGGCGAAAGCCUGACGGAGCAACGCCGCGUGAGUGAUGAAGGUCUUCGGAUCGUAAAACUCUGUUAUUAGGGAAGAACAUAUGUGUAAGUAACUGUGCACAUCUUGACGGUACCUAAUCAGAAAGCCACGGCUAACUACGUGCCAGCAGCCGCGGUAAUACGUAGGUGGCAAGCGUUAUCCGGAAUUAUUGGGCGUAAAGCGCGCGUAGGCGGUUUUUUAAGUCUGAUGUGAAAGCCCACGGCUCAACCGUGGAGGGUCAUUGGAAACUGGAAAACUUGAGUGCAGAAGAGGAAAGUGGAAUUCCAUGUGUAGCGGUGAAAUGCGCAGAGAUAUGGAGGAACACCAGUGGCGAAGGCGACUUUCUGGUCUGUAACUGACGCUGAUGUGCGAAAGCGUGGGGAUCAAACAGGAUUAGAUACCCUGGUAGUCCACGCCGUAAACGAUGAGUGCUAAGUGUUAGGGGGUUUCCGCCCCUUAGUGCUGCAGCUAACGCAUUAAGCACUCCGCCUGGGGAGUACGACCGCAAGGUUGAAACUCAAAGGAAUUGACGGGGACCCGCACAGGCGGUGGAGCAUGUGGUUUAAUUCGAAGCAACGCGAAGAACCUUACCAAAUCUUGACAUCCUUUGACAACUCUAGAGAUAGAGCCUUCCCCUUCGGGGGACAAAGUGACAGGUGGUGCAUGGUUGUCGUCAGCUCGUGUCGUGAGAUGUUGGGUUAAGUCCCGCAACGAGCGCAACCCUUAAGCUUAGUUGCCAUCAUUAAGUUGGGCACUCUAAGUUGACUGCCGGUGACAAACCGGAGGAAGGUGGGGAUGACGUCAAAUCAUCAUGCCCCUUAUGAUUUGGGCUACACACGUGCUACAAUGGACAAUACAAAGGGCAGCGAAACCGCGAGGUCAAGCAAAUCCCAUAAAGUUGUUCUCAGUUCGGAUGGUAGUCUGCAACUCGACUACAUGAAGCUGGAAUCGCUAGUAAUCGUAGAUCAGCAUGCUACGGUGAAUACGUUCCCGGGUCU
Molecule: ribosomal RNA, 1372 nt
Filed under: uncultured bacterium
Lineage: Bacteria
Description: bacterial SSU rRNA
Rfam family: Bacterial small subunit ribosomal RNA
Source: RNAcentral